This is a long non-coding RNA of Crocodylus porosus (Australian saltwater crocodile), 1602 nucleotides long. Lineage: Eukaryota; Metazoa; Chordata; Crocodylia; Crocodylidae. The record is from Ensembl.
ACCUAUGAAAAAUCAGAGCUUCCCCUGCCCCCUUUGCUCACCAGGACAUGGGUCCAGCUGCAGCUGUCCCCCUCACCUCUGCUUUGUGGUGCUGAGCAGCCCGGAUAUGCCAUUGCCCCCCACUCCCAAGCCACAGCCCCCUGCCCUGCCAGCUGUAGCAGAGGGGGGCCCCAGCAGCCAGGGCUGCGGACUAGGGACCUUUGGUCCACAGCUCCCUGCCCUCCACAGCAGCAUCCAAGCCCUGGCUGCUACAUAUGGGAGGCAGCAGCUGAUGCAGUAGAGUGGAGUGGACCCCAUCGGGGCAGGAGUAGGGAUGUGAAGGCCCAGAAAAAAAAAUACAGUAAAAUUUUGGGGGAAAAUUUUGUUCCUUUUUUUUUUUUUGAGGUUUUUUUUUGGGUUUUUUCUGAAAAAGUGAAAAUUUUUGGAAAAAUAAAAUUCCCGUACAUUGCAGACAAGCAGUACAGUACAACUCUCAAAUGCAAAAGCAAGAUGCAUUUCUGCCCCCAGGGGGAACUGCUAUUUUCACAAGAGAAGGAACAAGGAUUCAGCACCUUCUUUGCUUAUAGAUGUCCUCCAUUGUUGACUUCUGAUGUAGAGGUAGGGGGACAGGAGCAGAUCCACCAAACUAGGCCUCUAAGGACUGGGAGUGGACACUGACAGCAGGAUCCAUUCAUUCCUGUAGAGAUUAGAAACAAGGACAUUAUUGUCCUCUUGCUCAAAAGCCUCAGGAGAGCAGACAGAGCAAGUCUAAAGGUUUUGGAGUUGGAAGGAACCUGCCUCCUCCUGGCCCAGUGACCUGGAGAUCCACAGAAGUACAGAAGCAGCACAAAGGUGCUGAAAGAAAGUAUACUUCUUUAUUGAAAGGUAGUUUAUAUUUCUUUGAAUUCAGUAUAUUAAACUAUAUUUUAGCUGCAUUAGUAUAUUUUCAUAACCCAUGUAAUUCAUAAUUGAAUUCCUACUAAUCUGAUGUUUUGUGACAAAUCACCCGCCCUUAGCAGUGAGGUAAGGCCUGCAGGGCAGGGAAGUUAACUGUGAACAACUCUGAGAAGGCUUCUCCCUCCAUCCAUUACUAAAUUUGUACAUGCUUAGUGUCUAUAUAUGCAAGCUAGCUACUAAAUUCCUUUUUUCUCCCUCAACAAAAUGGCGCAACUGACUUCUGGCAUAUGGAAGCAUUUCCACACUGCAAAUUAUUCUGAAAAAAAAAAGUGAGUUGCACAUACUGUCAAAUGAAAUAUGCAUUUCCAAAUGCUACUAGGAUGACCGAACACAUCCUUGUAUGUAAGAAGUGUCCUGCAGACAUUAAAAAGUCCUUCAUGCACGUAAGUGAGGAGGAGGUAGAUCAUAAUGAUGAAAGUGCAAGAAGCUCUUUCCAAAAUUCUUGAUCCAGAAGUCCUCCUCCUACUGCUGCUGCUUCUUCUAUAACAUCAGCAUCAAAAAGGUUGCCCAAUGAACAUCCUCAAGUAACCAAAUUGUAACUGUCUUAUAGUUUUUAGCAAAGACUUUAUAUUAUUUUCUCUUUUCUGUAUAACUGCCGCGCGGCACUCUCACAUUUAUGUAACCUUGAAGUAGACUGUUAAUCAAAAUGAACGCUUUGUACUUCUC